RNAcentral lists this ribosomal RNA (1346 nucleotides) under uncultured bacterium. RNAcentral's name for it is "bacterial SSU rRNA". It matches the Rfam family "Bacterial small subunit ribosomal RNA", at positions 13 to 1375 of the family's 1533-position model. The record is from RNAcentral.
UUGAUCCUGGCUCAGGACGAACGCUUGCGGCGUGCUUAACACAUGCAAGUCGAACGGAAAGGCCCUUCGGGGUACUCGAGUGGCGAACGGGUGAGUAACACGUGGGUGAUCUGCCCUGCACUUUGGGAUAAGCCUGGGAAACUGGGUCUAAUACCGAAUAUGACCACGCUCUUCAGGGGGUGUGGUGGAAAGCUUUUGCGGUGUGGGAUGGGCCCGCGGCCUAUCAGCUUGUUGGUGGGGUAAUGGCCUACCAAGGCGACGACGGGUAGCCGGCCUGAGAGGGUGACCGGCCACACUGGGACUGAGAUACGGCCCAGACUCCUACGGGAGGCAGCAGUGGGGAAUAUUGCACAAUGGGCGCAAGCCUGAUGCAGCGACGCCGCGUGAGGGAUGACGGCCUUCGGGUUGUAAACCUCUUUCACCAGGGACGAAGCGCAAGUGACGGUACCUGGAGAGGAAGCACCGGCCAACUACGUGCCAGCAGCCGCGGUAAUACGUAGGGUGCGAGCGUUGUCCGGAAUUACUGGGCGUAAAGAGCUCGUAGGUGGUUUGUCGCGUUGUUCGUGAAAACUCACAGCUUAACUGUGGGCGUGCGGGCGAUACGGGCAGACUAGAGUACUGCAGGGGAGACUGGAAUUCCUGGUGUAGCGGUGGAAUGCGCAGAUAUCAGGAGGAGCACCGGUGGCGAAGGCGGGUCUCUGGGCAGUAACUGACGCUGAGGAGCGAAAGCGUGGGGAGCGAACAGGAUUAGAUACCCUGGUAGUCCACGCCGUAAACGGUGGGUACUAGGUGUGGGUUCCUUCCUUGGGAUCCGUGCCGUAGCUAACGCAUUAAGUACCCCGCCUGGGGAGUACGGCCGCAAGGCUAAAACUCAAAGGAAUUGACGGGGGCCCGCACAAGCGGCGGAGCAUGUGGAUUAAUUCGAUGCAACGCGAAGAACCUUACCUGGGUUUGACAUGCACAGGACGCUGGUAGAGAUAUCAGUUCCCUUGUAGCCUGUGUGCAGGUGGUGCAUGGCUGUCGUCAGCUCGUGUCGUGAGAUGUUGGGUUAAGUCCCGCAACGAGCGCAACCCCUAUCUUAUGUUGCCAGCGCGUUAUGGCGGGGACUCGUAAGAGACUGCCGGGGUCAACUCGGAGGAAGGUGGGGAUGACGUCAAGUCAUCAUGCCCCUUAUGUCCAGGGCUUCACACAUGCUACAAUGGCCGGUACAAAGGGCUGCGAAUCCGCGAGGUGGAGCGAAUCCCUUGAAAGCCGGUCUCAGUUCGGAUCGGGGUCUGCAACUCGACCCCGUGAAGUUGGAGUCGCUAGUAAUCGCAGAUCAGCAACGCUGCGGUGAAUACGUUCCC